Long non-coding RNA from Triticum aestivum (bread wheat), 398 nucleotides. RefSeq lists it as uncharacterized. Lineage: Eukaryota; Viridiplantae; Streptophyta; Magnoliopsida; Poales; Poaceae. The record is from RefSeq and is a predicted model, not a curated record. The transcript has 3 exons.
CCACCCCAACAACUGCCGACUACAUACAUCUUGUGCAGAAAAAACAACCUGCAUCUGACAAUGGAUCCAGAAGUUGGCAUUCAAACUUGCAAAGCUUGGUUGUUCCAUCAAAACAACGGCUGUGAUGGAUGCAUCUGUUAGGGGGUCUGUGUAAUCGACCAUUUCAAAGGUUCUGACCAAACCUGAACCCUGAGAAAGAAGCAGGGGGGUUGGCCUCCUCUGUUUUCGUCCCCUGUCCACACCGCCGUCUCCUCAAACCUCCUCUGUUUUCCUGCCCCUCCUACUUGCUAGUUACUGGAGUACAUGAUCUGAAUUGAUCCUUGUACAGGGUACAUUGUUUGUUAGCUGCGCCUAGCUAGGUACACAACUUCGUAUCCUGCAGUCUUUUUUCAACAUAA